AUUCCAGCUCCAAUAGCGUAUAUUAAAGUUGUUGCGGUUAAAAAGCUCGUAGUGGGAUUUCUGCCGAGGAUGACCGGUCCGCCCUGUGGGUGUGCAUCUGGCUCAGCCUUGGCAUCUUCCUGAAGAACGUAGCUGCACUUGACUGUGUGGUGCGGUAUUUAGGACAUUUACUUUGAGGAAAUAAGAGUGUUCCAAGCAGGCUCUCGUCGUGCAUAGCUCAGCAUGGAAUAAUAGCAUUGGACUUCGUUUCUACGCUGUUGGUUGCAAGAAGCGAGGUAAUGAUGAAGAGGGAUAGUUGGGGGCAUUCGUAUUUAACUGUCAGAGGUGAAAUUCUUGGAUUUGUUAAAGACGGACUACUGCGGAAGCAUCUGCCAUGGAUGUUUUCAUCG
This 389-nucleotide ribosomal RNA is filed under the name Biecheleria sp. RNAcentral describes it as "partial small subunit ribosomal RNA". It matches the Rfam family "Eukaryotic small subunit ribosomal RNA", at positions 582 to 975 of the family's 1831-position model. The record is from RNAcentral. Lineage: Eukaryota; Dinophyceae; Suessiales; Biecheleriaceae.